UCCCCAUAAUCAUGUAAAGCUGCAGUAUGACUUAGUGUUCACUCCCUGCUCUCGUUCUGUCUCUUGCUUGCGCUUCAUCCACUGUGGAUAACCACUUGGCUUUGAUAACAACGGUGUGAAAAUAGGCCCUCGCAGCACACGACACAGUAACCCAGAGGACCAUGCGACCCACUAUUUUAACACCUACUCCAAGGACAUGCUGGUCCAGGCCAUGGUGGGGAUCCUUCAAGGAAAAGCGCGAGGAGGGGAGGAGGAGAGUGUGUUGAUGCACGACCUUAAGCCAUUCCGCAUCCUCAUCAGCCUGCUGGACAAGCCAGAGCUUGGUACAACACACACACACACACACACACACACACACACACACACACACAAACAUAGCCAUGCACCUGCCCUCAGUCAAAGUCGCACAAAUGCACACACUCUCACUCCGUGAUCCUGUAUGUGUGUGGUUGCGUUGUCAG
Long non-coding RNA from Clupea harengus (Atlantic herring), 461 nucleotides. The record is from Ensembl. NCBI's taxonomy places the organism in Eukaryota, Metazoa, Chordata, Actinopteri, Clupeiformes, Clupeidae.